GCCUUCGUGGUAUAACGGUAGAAUACUCGGCGUGUAUUCGAAAGAUCCAGGUUCGAUUCCCGGCGAGAGCU
This 71-nucleotide transfer RNA is filed under the name Stegodyphus mimosarum. It matches the Rfam family "tRNA". Rfam says of the family: Transfer RNA (tRNA) molecules are approximately 80 nucleotides in length. Lineage: Eukaryota; Metazoa; Arthropoda; Arachnida; Araneae; Eresidae. The record is from Rfam by way of RNAcentral.